This is a non-coding RNA of Vicia faba (fava bean), 321 nucleotides long. The record is from the annotation of a GenBank genome assembly. Lineage: Eukaryota; Viridiplantae; Streptophyta; Magnoliopsida; Fabales; Fabaceae.
AAAAUUCAAAGAGAAUUAUACCUAAUUUUCUAAACGACGCCGCAUACAGACUUAUGGUUUGAAACCCUUCAUGUUCCUUCAAAGACUUCGAACUCCCUUCGUCUGUGUAUUCUCCUUCGAUCUUUCCUCCGUUCACCUCCGUUCUCAUCGUCGCUCUCUACUUCGAUCACCAACACUCUGCUACAACUAUACCUCAAUAUUCUCUUCUUCACCGAUUCCUUCUCCUAUUCCUCAAAUCUAAACAAAUCUAGAAAAGAAAACCUAGAAAACUCAAGGAAAAAUCAAACGAUGAUAGAAGCGAAUCUGGAAACGAGACCAUAG